AUCACAGGGCGGCAUACAGAG
This 21-nucleotide unclassified non-coding RNA is filed under the name Mus musculus (house mouse). Its description in RNAcentral is "oocyte_clustered_small_RNA10407". Lineage: Eukaryota; Metazoa; Chordata; Mammalia; Rodentia; Muridae. The record is from RNAcentral.